GGCGCUUAAGCGCGCGACC
Molecule: small nuclear RNA, 19 nt
Filed under: Arabidopsis thaliana (thale cress)
Lineage: Eukaryota; Viridiplantae; Streptophyta; Magnoliopsida; Brassicales; Brassicaceae
Description: snRNA_01862
Source: RNAcentral